Molecule: ribosomal RNA, 457 nt
Filed under: uncultured Alcaligenaceae bacterium
Lineage: Bacteria; Pseudomonadati; Pseudomonadota; Betaproteobacteria; Burkholderiales; Alcaligenaceae
Description: bacterial SSU rRNA
Rfam family: Bacterial small subunit ribosomal RNA
Source: RNAcentral
CGGGGGGCAGCAGUGGGGAAUUUUGGACAAUGGGGGAAACCCUGAUCCAGCCAUUCCGCGUGUGCGAUGAAGGCCUUCGGGUUGUAAAGCACUUUUGGCAGGAAAGAAAUCGCACAAAUUAAUACUUUGUGUGGAUGACGGUACCUGCAGAAUAAGCACCGGCUAACUACGUGCCAGCAGCCGCGGUAAUACGUAGGGUGCAAGCGUUAAUCGGAAUUACUGGGCGUAAAGCGUGCGCAGGCGGUUCGGAAAGAGAGGUGUGAAAUCCCAGGGCUUAACCUUGGAACUGCACUUUUAACUCCCGAGCUAGAGUAUGUCAGAGGGGGGUGGAAUUCCGCGUGUAGCAGUGAAAUGCGUAGAUAUGCGGAGGAACACCGAUGGCGAAGGCAGCCCCCUGGGAUAAUACUGACGCUCAUGCACGAAAGCGUGGGGAGCAAACAGGAUUAGAUACCCGAGU